AGAGUUUUGAUCCUGGCUCAGAUUUGAACGCUAGCGGAAUGCCUUACACAUGCAAGUCGAACGGCAGAACGGACUUCGGUCUGGUGGCGAGUGGCGAACGGGUGAGUAAUGUAUCGGAACGUGCCUAGUACGGGGGAUAACUACUCGAAAGAGUAGCUAAUACCGCAUACGCCUCGGGAAAGGGGGGGAUCGCAAGACCUCUCACUAUUAGAGCGGCCGAUAUCGGAUUAGCUAGUUGGUGAGGUAAAGGCUCACCAAGGCGACGAUCCGUAGCUGGUUUGAGAGGACGACCAGCCACACUGGGACUGAGACACGGCCCAGACUCCUACGGGAGGCAGCAGUGGGGAAUUUUGGACAAUGGGGGAAACCCUGAUCCAGCCAUUCCGCGUGUGCGAUGAAGGCCUUCGGGUUGUAAAGCACUUUUGGCAGGAAAGAAAAGUUGUGGGUUAAUACCUCGCAACGAUGACGGUACCUGCAGAAUAAGCACCGGCUAACUACGUG
RNAcentral lists this ribosomal RNA (501 nucleotides) under uncultured Alcaligenaceae bacterium. RNAcentral's name for it is "bacterial SSU rRNA". It matches the Rfam family "Bacterial small subunit ribosomal RNA", at positions 8 to 507 of the family's 1533-position model. Lineage: Bacteria; Pseudomonadati; Pseudomonadota; Betaproteobacteria; Burkholderiales; Alcaligenaceae. The record is from RNAcentral.